Molecule: ribosomal RNA, 460 nt
Filed under: uncultured bacterium
Lineage: Bacteria
Description: partial 16S ribosomal RNA
Rfam family: Bacterial small subunit ribosomal RNA
Source: RNAcentral
CCUACGGGAGGCAGCAGUGAGGAAUAUUGGUCAAUGGAUGGAAGUCUGAACCAGCCAUGCCGCGUGCAGGUAGACGCCCCUAUGAGUUGUAAACUGCUUUUGUACAAGGGUAAACCUGAAUACGUGUAUUCAGCUGAAAUUACUGUACGAAUAAGGUUCGGUUAAUCCGGUGCCGGAAGCCCCGGUAAUACGGAGGUUCCAAGCGUUAUCCGGAUUUAUUGGGUUUAAAGGGUGCGUAGGCGGAUUGAUAAGUUAGAGUUGAAUUGUCCGACCUUAAGGCGUGAACUGCCUCUAAUACUGUUGAUCUAGAGAGUAGAUGCGGUAGGAGGAAUGUAUGGUGUAGCGGUGAAAUGCUUAGAGAUCAUACAGAACACCGAUUGCGAAGGCAGCUUACCAAUCUAUGUCUGACGUUGAUGCACGAAAGCGUGGGUAGCAAACAGGAUUAGAUACCCCAGUAGUC